UUUAAAGGUUUGAACAACUCAAUUUAUCCAAUUUUCCUAUGAUUUUUUCGGUUACAUGUGAUGUCCUUCUGUUGGUUGCUGUGUCAUAGUAUACAGUAAUCAUACUAAUGGAACAGGAAUUAUUGGAAGGUGGAAGAGAUGUUGUUUCACUGGAAAAUAUACUGCAGCAUCCUCAGCUAAGACCAAACUGGCCACCUCUAUUAUCUCUUGCUUUCCAUUGAUAAAAGGGACUGGGACUUUGCUGCUAGUGCUUUCCCCUGCAGGUCAAACCUAAAAGCAACUCUUGUUUUUUUCUGUAGUAUUCUGGGAAUCACAGAUAACAACCUGCUGCUCCAUUAAGAAACCUGCAAAGCCCAGCAAUGUGUUCAGUAAGUGGUUAUUUGGAAUCCCGGAAUGGUUGCGGUAGGAAGGGACCUCUGGGUCCAUCUGACCCAACUGCCUGCUCAAAUAAGAGCCAGCACCGAGAGCAGGGUGCCCAGGACCAUGCCCAGGUGGUACUCUUUAUAGAAGUAAACUGGAUAGGGAGGAUGUCAGUCUUUUUUUUUUGUUUUUUUUUUUUUUUUAACACAUCUUUCUUACCAUCUGCUUUCCCCAGCCACUUGGAGUAGCCGGUUGUCAAUUGCAUGAUACCACACUGAUGCUGAGGUUCCCUUUGGGACACUGCUGUAAGGCCGAUGCAGUCAUUACCAUCUCUUCCUGGUAACUUGGACCCUGUCACUGAGCUGCUUAUAACACUUGUGACUCUGCUGGCAAUAUGGGACAUUGCAGUGUGCUGCUAAGUGGUUGAUUUGGUUUGGGUACUGUCUGUUAUUUUCCCUGACUAGAGGCAUUCCCUCUCAACUUUUCUUUUUCGGUAGAUGAGUGGUGGUAAGAAUGGAAGAAGCAUAGAAUCAGUAAGGCUAAAGAAGACCUGUAAUAUUAUCAACCAUCAAAUCCAUCCCCACCAUGCCCACUAAACCAUGUUUCUGAGUGCCACAUCUACCCUUUUGUACACCUCCAGAGAUGGUGGAUCCAUCAUCUCCCUGGAUACAAAGGCAGAUUUCAGAUCUCAAAUACAUUAGUGUUAGAGCUUUUAGACAUACAGUACUAUUGACGGUUGGGACUCCUUCAGUGCUUUUAUAAAGCAGGAGGGAACCAUGGAACCAUAGAAACACCAGAGUUGGAAAGGAUCUCCAAGAUCACCCUGUCAACUGUCUUCCUACUACCAGUAUUUCCCCACUAAAUCACGUCCCUUAGUACAACAUCUGAACGUUUCUUGAACACCUUUACGGACGGUGGCUCAACCACCUCCCUGGGCAGCCCAUUCCAGCACCUAAGAGAAGGAGAAGUGAAAGAUGAUCAGAAAAAAGUGCUGCUUUUAACUGAGUGUUUUCAUGGUAAGUGAUUUUUCAAGAUAUGCUAUCUCAAACCAAUGAUGACCAUUAUGGCUUUAGCUGUGGAAAAAGAAAAAAGAAAAGAAGAACCAGAGACCUCUGUGUUGAAAUCUGCACAGCACACUGCUGUGUUAAUAGUGCAGAAAGCAUUUCAUAGAAUGGCUUGGGUUGGAAGUGACUUCAAAAAUCAUCCUGUUCCAACCCCCCCCAUGCUGCAGGCAAGGUUGCCAACCACUAAAUCAGGCACUUGAUCAGGUUGCCCAGGCUCCUAUCCAAACUUGCCUUGAUUUAACAAGCAAGAGUCUCUGCACUGAAAAGAAAGAGAAAAGGAAAAAUAGAGAAACCACUGCAUUUAAGCAAUUCUUAGCUUCCAACAUGCAUUAACCUGGGCACACUUGGGUAGAAAUAGAUAUGGGCUGCAAACUUGUGACAGUACUGGAGGAUGUACUAAUCUAUUCAGUGAUUAGAUAAGUAGAUCUUAAUUUAGGUCUGUGAAUGAUCUCAUUGGACAAAUGACUUGGGCUAUGUCUGUAGUGUUGGGCCAAGGAGGAGUUUCAUGUGGGAAAGGGCCGCAGGUACCUGGUUUCUGCAGAAAGGAGAUUUGAUGUGUGACCUAGAAGUGAUCUGGGCCAGGAUCUAGCAUGUCUCCCAGUCAAUCUCUUUUGGGAAAUGAGAUGAACUCAUAGCACCUGAAUAUUUCCCUAGCAUGGUUUCCAGGAGUAGAAAAUAUCUUAAAAAUCUUUCCUAGAAAUGUCAGAGGAAAUAAUUUUGCUGUUCAGUUCUGGCUUAAGCAGCAGUAAUGAGAUGUUUUCCUUGUUCCGAGAGAAGGAAAAUGGCAGUCCAAAGUUCAGUCCUGAAUUCCUGCUGGCAGCAGUGGGAUUGCAUACAUACAUCUAAGGCAAGUAUUGACAAGAAUACUACUAGGAAAUAUAUGAUGAUUUUUUAGGCUUUCUUUCCAUAAGGUAGAAGAGAAUAAGCGGAGUUGUAUCUGUAUUAACUAUAUCUGCUAUAUCAGAAUUAGCAAUACUGAUGGUACACUUAAUGUUUUUAAUGCCUGUCACAGCCUGGUGUGAUUGGCUUCCUUCUGGUGUGUAUGAGUGAGGAAACUUGCAGCAUACAUAGAACACAGCCUGUGUGUCAUCGGCUCUCCUGUUGAUUUAGUUUCAUUUUCUGUUUAUCUGGCUUGCUCAACUGCCUGUAACAGCAUUAAAGUGUUCUUCUGAUCUUUGUCUCCAUGUGUUCAAAAAAUGUACUUUUGAAAGCCUUCAUGCCAAAGGGACGUUCUGACUGAGGGGCAGCUCUUGGAUUUGUUUCAGAAGCCACUGGCAAGUUACAAACUUCGAGACCCGGGGAACUGUGCAACUGUGUUGCUUCUCAGCAAUUUUAUGGAUACUUGCUGACAACUCAAUACAGAAAGUUGUUCAGUAGAAGAACAUGCAAAUCCUACCUUGGACUGCCGGUCUAGGAUAAUUUUAAGAUAGCUUGUCCACAAAGUGUUGAUGGUGAGGGUUCUGCACGUGAAGAAGAGUGGAAUGUUACUGUCUGAUGAUGGAGGUGGUGGUUACAAACUCUUGAGAAUGAGUGAUGAUCCUUUUAAACCUGCAAAAGAGUGGAGAAGUAGAAAGGCUGAUCUGGAAGAAGAUGCCAAGACCUGAAGAAUUUAGUUGUUCUAUUGAUUUGUAUCUGAAGAAGUUAGAACUCACCCAAAUAAGAGGAUGGUACUUCCUUGCUGAGAAAUACCAGUGCUAGUGAAAAGCAGCAGAAGCGUAUAUGUGCUCUGCAGGAGAGCCAGCAAAUUGCAACAGUGAAGUCUUCUGAGAGCUGACUUUGUUAGCAAGUGAUUUUGAGAGAGAAUAAAUCUACUGAAUUAUGGUUGUACAUAUUAACUGCUGUCCGCUGGACAUGUCAACUAUUACUUAAUUCAAGGUACAAGUUCAAGUGAACUGUGGGCUUUUCAAGCCUCUGGGCACUUUGCUUUGAAUGCCAUUUUUUGAAUGACAUUGUCUUUGACUCCCAAAGUUUAUCUGGUGACCAGCUUUCUGGAGGCUUAUUUGAGAUAAUCUUUUCCUCCUGGAAAAGUUCAUGAAGGUUUUAAGGACAUAAAUUGCUAUUGAACUAUUCAUUUAUCUACAGAAAAGACAUGCUAUAUGCCUACCACUAAUGACAAGGUGGAGAUACAAAGGGUCGACCUUUUCUGUAUCAAUAAAAACAAAUUGUGUUUUAAGAGAAGCACUUUAAGCAAGAAACGUAUUUGGUGGUAUCAUAUACCGAGCACUGUUGGAAAAAAGAAAAACAACACCUGAAGAUGAACUGCAUCUUUUGCUGGCAGAAUUUAAUCACAGGAUUGACAAGCAUGAUGAUGUGCAAGAUGAUGUGGUUAAUGCUCCAGGCUUUCCAUAUUUUGUUGUCAUCGUCUUCUCUGUAAGGAAGAAGCAUUGUAUAGACUAAUUCAUACUCCAGAUUCUUUUGCGGGAGUUGGAGGGACUACAUGAACUUUUGCAGUCUUUCUGCUCUAAUCCAGCAAUUUGGUCAUUUGACUUCCUUGAACUUGGUUUAAGGCUUUACUAGAAAGCUGCUACUUAACGAGCUGAGAGUGGUUGGUUUGUAUUGGAAGAGAACUGGUAGACAACAGGGUUUCCAGAGGAUUUCUCAAUCCCUUUUCCAUUUUUGAUGUCUCCUUUCCCUGUAUUAUAGAUUUCCUUGAAUAAAAAUAUGGAGUAAUAUGCACUGAACAGUGUGUAUAGUAGAUACUGACACUUCUAGGCAGCCUGAAAGUAGAUAGGAGCUUUGUGUGUUGAGGAAAUUCAUUUUAUGCUGUUAACAACAUACAAGACUCCUUUCAAAUUGCCUCAAAUUUCCAGAGGAAGAGAACUGGGAAGGGCAAUUCCACAUCUGUCAUCACUGUUUGCCUCACAGUUCCUCUGGUUUGACAGCAUUGUGGGAAAAAAAUGGUCUGCAUUUGCAAUGCAAGUUGUGAAAUGUUUGCAAAAGUCAUCUUGCUUUAUCCUUUAUGCGUCCACUGAAUAUUCACUUUAGAAAUGUUUUUAUUUUCUAUUCAGGGAAACUGUCUAAAAAGGAAUGUAUCUAAUUGUCAUUUACUGACUACUGGGGAGCUGUAAUCUCCUGGAGCUUCGGUACCAUGCUGAAUUACUGGACUUUGUUUUUCACAUCAACUCUAUCAAGGUUGUGUCUUUUCUGUUAUUUGUGUAAUAGAUAGCAUUGUGCCUCUGGAAACACCUCAUGUCCUUCAGAACCAGUAGUAUAUUCCCUGCCUGUUUAGCAGUUUUUGCAGUGCUUGGACCAAAUUCUUUUAAAUCAGUUGUGUUGUGCAGAAUUUGAGCCACUCCAUUUAGCAGGCAUACAGUUACUUGAUCGUAGCUCUUUUAGUGGCAGUGAAUCUCCCACUUUCUUCAUAAAUUGAAUUCAAUUAUCACUUCUUUACCCAGUCUUCAUGAGCAUGUUUAGACAUCUCCCUUUACAUCUGGAAUUUUAAAUAGAAGAAACAAUAGUAGUGAUCACUUCCGCAAUUUAUGGUCUAAGAGAUGGCCUAAUGAAUUAAUAAAAUUUGCAGCUGCAAAGAAAUUCUGGCUAGGUUUUUCCAGUGCCUUUUUACAAAGUACUCUUAAGCCUCAUGAGAUUCCCUAAAUUCAGCCUGGUGGUUUUUGACAUAAAUACUGACAAAUGGAGUACAUGAUGUCUUGUAGACCUGUUGAAAGUUAUACAAUUGAGUGUUAGAAAAAGGAUAUCAAUAUACUAGAUUCAGGCACCCUCAUGCAACUGUCAAAGCACAUUGCUCAUGCACUGUGUGUUUCAGAUGUGAAUGGUUAAACAAAGGACAAGGUUAAAUCAAGGGGAGAUUCUACAGCUAAUAAAAAAAUA
This is a long non-coding RNA of Meleagris gallopavo (turkey), 5252 nucleotides long. RefSeq lists it as uncharacterized. The record is from RefSeq and is a predicted model, not a curated record. Lineage: Eukaryota; Metazoa; Chordata; Aves; Galliformes; Phasianidae.